Molecule: ribosomal RNA, 291 nt
Filed under: Salmonella enterica subsp. enterica serovar Javiana
Lineage: Bacteria; Pseudomonadati; Pseudomonadota; Gammaproteobacteria; Enterobacterales; Enterobacteriaceae
Description: partial 23S ribosomal RNA
Rfam family: Bacterial large subunit ribosomal RNA
Source: RNAcentral
GUCCCUAUCUACCGUGGGCGUUGGAAAUUUGAGAGGAUCUGCUCCUAGUACGAGAGGACCAGAGUGGACGAACCUCUGGUGUUUCGGUUGUGACGCCAGUCGCAUUGCCGAGUAGCUAUGUUCGGAUGGGAUAACCGCUGAAAGCAUCUAAGCGGGAAGCCCACCUUAAGAUUAGAUUUCCCUAAAGAGCCGUUGUAGACUACGACGUUGAUAGGUUGGGUGUGGAAGCACAGCGAUGUGUGUAGCUAACCAAUACUAAUUGCUCGUUUGGCUUGACUAUACAACGCCUAA